RNAcentral lists this ribosomal RNA (564 nucleotides) under Cladosporium cladosporioides. RNAcentral's name for it is "LSU rRNA". It matches the Rfam family "Eukaryotic large subunit ribosomal RNA", at positions 65 to 650 of the family's 3401-position model. RNAcentral also lists the same sequence under 7 other names. The record is from RNAcentral. Lineage: Eukaryota; Fungi; Ascomycota; Dothideomycetes; Cladosporiales; Cladosporiaceae.
CCAACAGGGAUUGCUCUAGUAACGGCGAGUGAAGCAGCAAUAGCUCAAAUUUGAAAUCUGGCGUCUUCGACGUCCGAGUUGUAAUUUGUAGAGGAUGCUUCUGAGUAACCACCGACCUAAGUUCCUUGGAACAGGACGUCAUAGAGGGUGAGAAUCCCGUAUGCGGUCGGAAAGGUGCUCUAUACGUAGCUCCUUCGACGAGUCGAGUUGUUUGGGAAUGCAGCUCUAAAUGGGAGGUAAAUUUCUUCUAAAGCUAAAUAUUGGCCAGAGACCGAUAGCGCACAAGUAGAGUGAUCGAAAGAUGAAAAGCACUUUGGAAAGAGAGUUAAAAAGCACGUGAAAUUGUUAAAAGGGAAGGGAUUGCAACCAGACUUGCUCGCGGUGUUCCGCCGGUCUUCUGACCGGUCUACUCGCCGCGUUGCAGGCCAGCAUCGUCUGGUGCCGCUGGAUAAGACUUGAGGAAUGUAGCUCCCUCGGGAGUGUUAUAGCCUCUUGUGAUGCAGCGAGCGCCGGGCGAGGUCCGCGCUUCGGCUAGGAUGCUGGCGUAAUGGUCGUAAUCCGCCC